RNAcentral lists this ribosomal RNA (433 nucleotides) under uncultured bacterium. RNAcentral's name for it is "partial 16S ribosomal RNA". It matches the Rfam family "Bacterial small subunit ribosomal RNA", at positions 29 to 507 of the family's 1533-position model. The record is from RNAcentral.
AACGAACGCUGGCGGCAUGCCUAACACAUGCAAGUCGAACGAGACCUUCGGGUCUAGUGGCGCACGGGUGCGUAACGCGUGGGAACCUGCCCUUAGGUUCGGAAUAACUCCCCGAAAGGGGUGCUAAUACCGGAUAAUGUCUUCGGACCAAAGAUUUAUCGCCAUUGGAUGGGCCCGCGUUGGAUUAGCUAGUUGGUAAGGUAAAAGCCUACCAAGGCGACGAUCCAUAGCUGGUCUGAGAGGAUGAUCAGCCACACUGGGACUGAGACACGGCCCAGACUCCUACGGGAGGCAGCAGUGGGGAAUAUUGGACGAUGGGCGAAGGCCUGAUCCAGCAGUGCCGCGUAAGUGAUGAAGGCCUUAGGGUUGUAAAGCUCUUUUACCCGGGAUGAUAAUGACAGUACCGGGAGAAUAAGCACCGGCUAACUACGUG